This 1229-nucleotide long non-coding RNA is filed under the name Gallus gallus (chicken). RNAcentral's name for it is "lncRNA (ENSGALG00010020858.1)". Lineage: Eukaryota; Metazoa; Chordata; Aves; Galliformes; Phasianidae. The record is from RNAcentral.
UUAAGCAGCAAAGAGCUGAGUUACUGGCAGCUCCCACCGUUCUCCUGACACCAGUUUGCUAACCUCUUGCCACUCCCUGAUAACCCCACCAUUAGGAGAUGGCUGCACAUGUUUCUGCAGCUAAGCGUGUGACCCCUGGUGAUGCUUCUCAGGCUGCAUAAAGGCAGAGCAGCCUCCUGUGCUCUGCUCUGGUGACUGCAGCAGAGAAGCACGAACUCUGAUAAAUCAUUCCCAGGUGGAGGUCACUGUAGCAGAGAAGUGAUGCCCUGUGACAUGUCCCGCUGCGGUGCUAAGCAUGAUCUGCUGUGAUACACAGGGCUUGCCAGGAAGAUUUUGCCUUAUUCCAACUCAGUUACAUCCAUAAGGAUGGAGGAGCAGCUCGUGUGAAUGCCAUGUAGGAAGGAUGGCAGAUAACAGCCAUCCACUCCCAUCUACAAUCACUCGAAUAUUUUGAAGAGAAGCUCAAGAAUCUCAGAGUCACUGAUUAAAAAAAAAAAAGAACCAAGUAUCUCAGACAACUGUAAUUUAAAGAGCACAUCAAAGGAUCUGUACAGCUCCACCAAGAGAUGAACAAGCGCUCCGUGGCAGUGAUGAGGCAGUUGUUGCAGAAUACAAGAGACUUAAAGGAACUGGCUACAGCUGAGCAAGUGAUGCGAUUGUGCAGGGAGAGAUGAGAGCUAAACAAAUAUUGCAACCAAUUCCUGCGCAGUGAGUUGAUUCCAGCAAGAAAAGCUGUUCAGACGUUAGCUUUACCCAUUGUGAAUGAGAGCAUGCCCUCUGCUAAUAGACACAAACUGCUCAAUCACUGAUUUGUAUGUUUCGGCUUCAGUGUGUUCUCAGACUCCUAAUUUUUCCUCCAUUUUUUAUUUUAAAUGCACAGCAUUAAUAAUAAUAAUAAUAAUAAUAAAAACUUAAACCCAGAACUCCGUACAUGUACAGAAAAAAAAGAAAGUGAUACCCAUUGGUUUAAUGGGCAUUGCUGCCAGUGUUCACAUUUUCAACCCAACCCAGCAUUCCUUGCCUCUCAUGCACAAUGCUCUCAGUGCUGUUAGGAAGAAGAGCACCCUGAUGCUCAAGCUAACAAACCUGUCACAUGGCUUCAGCCCAAUUUUGUCCUGGGUUCACUUCACUACGGUGGGUAAUUUAGCUUAAAGUGGAGGUGAAUCCCACUGUAUAUCCCCUAUCAGCCAGCAGUGCUCAGAGGCUGCUUAAUGGAAUGAGCACUUCCU